CGGCACAACUUAAGACUGUGUCAUCUUGUCUUGCUAAAUACUUUAAUCAGUUUUGUUGCAGGCCAUCUUGGUGAUGUGCUUUACAGAUCAGAGUGAAUCAGGCAACAGAUGGCUGGCCUUAUCAGUCAGGAGUUGUGCUCUUGGAGCAUCUGCAGGUGUUUAAUUGAGAAGUUGACUGGGAAGUGAAGUUGACUGGUCUCUGAUGGAAAAGGUAGAGUUUUUAUAGCAAACUGUACAGAGAGAAAAAAAUAAAACAUUUGAAAAUUGG
Molecule: long non-coding RNA, 268 nt
Organism: Calypte anna (Anna's hummingbird)
Lineage: Eukaryota; Metazoa; Chordata; Aves; Apodiformes; Trochilidae
Exons: 2
Source: RefSeq, a predicted model, not a curated record